RNAcentral lists this ribosomal RNA (406 nucleotides) under uncultured bacterium. RNAcentral's name for it is "partial 16S ribosomal RNA". It matches the Rfam family "Bacterial small subunit ribosomal RNA", at positions 30 to 526 of the family's 1533-position model. The record is from RNAcentral.
AUUGAACUCUGGCGGCAGGCCUAACACAUGCAAGUCGAACGAGUGGCGGACGGGUGAGUAAUGUCUGGGAAACUGCCCGAUGGGGGGGGAUAUCUACUGGAAAAGGUAGAUAAUACCGCAUACUAUCGGAUGUGCCCAGAUGGGAUUAGAUAGUAGGUGUGGUAACGCCUCACCUAGGCGACGAUCCAUAGCUGGUCUGAGAGGAUGACCAGCCAAACUGGAACUGAGACACGGACCAGACUCAUACGGGAGGCAGCAGUGGAGAAGAUUGCAAAAUGGGCGUAAGCCUGAUGCAGCCAUGCCGCGUGUAUGAAGAAGGCCUUCGGGUUGGAAAGUACUUUCAGCGAGGAGGCGUUACCCGCAGAAGAAGCACCGGCUAACUCCGUGCCAGCAGCGGCGGGAAUAC